UGCGUAGGCGGCAUGAUAAGUUAGUGGUGAAAGCCCCCGGCUCAACCGGGGAACUGCCAUUAAUACUGUCAUUCUUGAGUAUAGUUGAAGUGGGCGGAAUGUAUCAUGUAGCGGUGAAAUGCUUAGAUAUGAUACAGAACACCGAUAGCGUAGGCAGCUUGCUAAACUAUAACUGACGCUCAGGCACGAAAGCGUGGGGAGCAAACAGGAUUAGAUACCCUGGUAGUCC
Molecule: ribosomal RNA, 229 nt
Filed under: uncultured bacterium
Lineage: Bacteria
Description: partial 16S ribosomal RNA
Rfam family: Bacterial small subunit ribosomal RNA
Source: RNAcentral